This 1391-nucleotide ribosomal RNA is filed under the name uncultured bacterium. RNAcentral describes it as "bacterial SSU rRNA". It matches the Rfam family "Bacterial small subunit ribosomal RNA". The record is from RNAcentral.
AGAGUUUGAUCCUGGCUCAGGAUGAACGCUGGCGGCGUGCCUAACACAUGCAAGUCGAGCGAAGCGAUGUUAAGGAAGUUUUCGGAUGGAAUUAAGAUUGACUUAGCGGCGGACGGGUGAGUAACGCGUGGGUAACCUGCCUUAUACAGGGGGAUAACAGUUAGAAAUGACUGCUAAUACCGCAUAAGCGCACGGGAACGCAUGUUUCUGUGUGAAAAACUGAGGUAGUAUAAGAUGGACCCGCGUCUGAUUAGCUAGUUGGUGGGGUAACGGCCUACCAAGGCGACGAUCAGUAGCCGGCCUGAGAGGGUGACCGGCCACAUUGGGACUGAGACACGGCCCAAACUCCUACGGGAGGCAGCAGUGGGGAAUAUUGCACAAUGGGGGAAACCCUGAUGCAGCGACGCCGCGUGAGUGAAGAAGUAUUUCGGUAUGUAAAGCUCUAUCAGCAGGGAAGAAGCAAGACGGUACCUGACUAAGAAGCCCCGGCUAACUACGUGCCAGCAGCCGCGGUAAUACGUAGGGGGCAAGCGUUAUCCGGAUUUACUGGGUGUAAAGGGAGCGUAGACGGUAUGGCAAGUCUGAAGUGAAAGCCCAGGGCUUAACCCUGGGACUGCUUUGGAAACUGUUAGACUAGAGUGCUGGAGAGGUAAGUGGAAUUCCUAGUGUAGCGGUGAAAUGCGUAGAUAUUAGGAGGAACACCAGUGGCGAAGGCGGCUUACUGGACAGUAACUGACGUUGAGGCUCGAAAGCGUGGGGAGCAAACAGGAUUAGAUACCCUGGUAGUCCACGCUGUAAACGAUGAAUACUAGGUGUUGGCGGGCAAAGCCCGUCGGUGCCGCCGCAAACGCAAUAAGUAUUCCACCUGGGGAGUACGUUCGCAAGAAUGAAACUCAAAGGAAUUGACGGGGACCCGCACAAGCGGUGGAGCAUGUGGUUUAAUUCGAAGCAACGCGAAGAACCUUACCUGAUCUUGACAUCCCCCUGACCGGACCGUAAUGGGUUCUUUCCUUCGGGACAGGGGAGACAGGUGGUGCAUGGUUGUCGUCAGCUCGUGUCGUGAGAUGUUGGGUUAAGUCCCGCAACGAGCGCAACCCUUAUCUUCAGUAGCCAGCAUUACGGAUGGGCACUCUGGAGAGACUGCCAGGGACAACCUGGAGGAAGGUGGGGAUGACGUCAAAUCAUCAUGCCCCUUAUGACCAGGGCUACACACGUGCUACAAUGGCGUAAACAAAGGGAAGCGACCACGUGAGUGUAAGCAAAUCCCAAAAAUAACGUCUCAGUUCGGAUUGUAGUCUGCAACUCGACUACAUGAAGCUGGAAUCGCUAGUAAUCGCGAAUCAGAAUGUCGCGGUGAAUACGUUCCCGGGUCUUGCACUCACCGCCCGUCA